AUUGAACGCUGGCGGCAUGCUUUACACAUGCAAGUCGGACGGCAGCACAGAGACGCUUGCUUCUUGGGUGGCGAGUGGCGAACGGGUGAGUAAUAUAUCGGAACGUACCGAGUAAUGGGGGAUAACUAAUCGAAAGAUUAGCUAAUACCGCAUAUUCUCUGAGGAGGAAAGCAGGGGACCUUCGGGCCUUGCGUUAUUCGAGCGGCCGAUAUCUGAUUAGCUAGUUGGUGGGGUAAAGGCCUACCAAGGCGACGAUCAGUAGCGGGUCUGAGAGGAUGAUCCGGCACACUGGGAACGGGGAAAGGCCCAAGAUCCCUAGGGGAGGCAGAGGGGGGAAAUUUUGGAAAAUGGGCGAAAGCCGGUCCAAGCAUGCCGCGUGUCUGAAGAAGGCCUUCGGGUUGUAAAGGACUUUUGUCAGGGAAGAAAAGGCUGUUGCUAAUAUCAAGAGCUGAUGACGGUACCUGAAGAAUAAGCACCGGCUAACUACGUG
This 490-nucleotide ribosomal RNA is filed under the name uncultured bacterium. RNAcentral's name for it is "partial 16S ribosomal RNA". It matches the Rfam family "Bacterial small subunit ribosomal RNA", at positions 30 to 507 of the family's 1533-position model. The record is from RNAcentral.